RNAcentral lists this ribosomal RNA (468 nucleotides) under uncultured bacterium. RNAcentral describes it as "partial 16S ribosomal RNA". It matches the Rfam family "Bacterial small subunit ribosomal RNA", at positions 28 to 507 of the family's 1533-position model. The record is from RNAcentral.
GACGAACGCUGGCGGCGUGCUUAACACAUGCAAGUCGAACGGAAAGGCCCUGCUUUUGUGGGGUGCUCGAGUGGCGAACGGGUGAGUAACACGUGAGUAACCUGCCCUUGACUUUGGGAUAACUUCAGGAAACUGGGGCUAAUACCGGAUAGGAGCUCCUGCUGCAUGGUGGGGGUUGGAAAGUUUCGGCGGUUGGGGAUGGACUCGCGGCUUAUCAGCUUGUUGGUGUGGUAGUGGCUUACCAAGGCUUUGACGGGUAGCCGGCCUGAGAGGGGGACCGGCCACAUUGGGACUGAGAUACGGCCCAGACUCCUACGGGAGGCAGCAGUGGGGAAUAUUGCACAAUGGGCGGAAGCCUGAUGCAGCAACGCCGCGUGCGGGAUGACGGCCUUCGGGUUGUAAACCGCUUUCGCCUGUGACGAAGCGUGAGUGACGGUAAUGGGUAAAGAAGCACCGGCUAACUACGUG